This 253-nucleotide ribosomal RNA is filed under the name uncultured bacterium. Its description in RNAcentral is "partial 16S ribosomal RNA". It matches the Rfam family "Bacterial small subunit ribosomal RNA", at positions 524 to 776 of the family's 1533-position model. The record is from RNAcentral.
UACGAGGGGGGCAAGCGUUGUUCGGAAUUAUUGGGCGUAAAGGGUGCGUAGGCGGUUUGGUAAGUCUUAUGUGAAAUCUACAGGCUCAACUUGUAGUCUGCAUGAGAAACUGCCGGGCUUGAGUAUGGGAGAGGUGAGUGGAAUUCCUGGUGUAGCGGUGAAAUGCGUAGAUAUCAGGAGGAACACCUGUGGCGAAAGCGGCUCACUGGACCAUAACUGACGCUCAUGCACGAAAGCGUGGGGAGCAAACAGG